This 389-nucleotide RNase P RNA is filed under the name Pseudoxanthobacter soli DSM 19599. Its description in RNAcentral is "Bacterial RNase P class A". It matches the Rfam family "Bacterial RNase P class A". Rfam says of the family: Ribonuclease P (RNase P) is a ubiquitous endoribonuclease, found in archaea, bacteria and eukarya as well as chloroplasts and mitochondria. Its best characterised activity is the generation of mature 5'-ends of tRNAs by cleaving the 5'-leader elements of precursor-tRNAs. Cellular RNase Ps are ribonucleoproteins. Lineage: Bacteria; Pseudomonadati; Pseudomonadota; Alphaproteobacteria; Hyphomicrobiales; Segnochrobactraceae. The record is from Rfam by way of RNAcentral.
CCAGCCGGCCGGACGGCCGCUCCGGCAGGGACCGAAAGGUCGCCGGGGAGGAAAGUCCGGGCUCCACGGAAACACGGUGCCGGGUAACGCCCGGCGAGGGCGACCUCAGGGAAAGUGCCACAGAAAGCAAACCGCCCGCGCAUGCGCGGGUAAGGGUGAAAGGGUGGGGUAAGAGCCCACCGCGGACCCGGCAACGGGGACGGCACGGUAAACCCCACCGGGAGCAAGACCGAAUAGGGGCGGCGCGGGGGCGACCCCAGCCCGUUUCCGGGCCAGCCGCCCGGGUAGGUCGCGAGAGGCGUCCGGCAACGGGCGUCCCAGAUGAAUGGCCGUCGCGCGGGUCCCAUGGGCCCGCCUUACAGAACCCGGCUUACAGGCCGGCUGGCACU